This 270-nucleotide ribosomal RNA is filed under the name uncultured cyanobacterium. Its description in RNAcentral is "partial 16S ribosomal RNA". It matches the Rfam family "Bacterial small subunit ribosomal RNA", at positions 1264 to 1533 of the family's 1533-position model. Lineage: Bacteria; Bacillati; Cyanobacteriota. The record is from RNAcentral.
CUAGCAAUCCCAUAAACCGUGGCUCAGUUCAGACCGUAGGCUGCAACUCGCCUACGUGAAGUAGGAAUCGCUAGUAAUCGCAGGUCAGCAUACUGCGGUGAAUACGUUCCCGGGCCUUGUACACACCGCCCGUCACACCAUGGAAGUUGGCCAUGCCCGAAGUCGUUACUCCAACCCUUGUGGAGGAGGACGCCAAAGGUGGGGCUAAUGACUGGGGUGAAGUCGUAACAAGGUAGCCGUACCGGAAGGUGCGGCUGGAUCACCUCCUAA